This 24-nucleotide non-coding RNA is filed under the name Arabidopsis thaliana (thale cress). Lineage: Eukaryota; Viridiplantae; Streptophyta; Magnoliopsida; Brassicales; Brassicaceae. The record is from RNAcentral.
AGGGCUGAAAAUUCAGGCAACCCA